RNAcentral lists this long non-coding RNA (807 nucleotides) under Gallus gallus (chicken). Lineage: Eukaryota; Metazoa; Chordata; Aves; Galliformes; Phasianidae. The record is from RNAcentral.
CUGUUCUUACAAAAAUGCAAACACUCCUUACUGGAAGCUGAUAUUUUGCCCAAAGUGCUCCAUCGUUUAUUCUGAGCUCAUCAACAUGAAGACUUGAAAAAGUUUUAGAAAUCAAACAUAGAGAAGAUUUGAACGAAAGGAAUGAAGGUUACAUUCAAAACAGAAACACAGCUUUCUAUUUUUGUUUUGAAAGCUGUCAAAGAUUCUAGCCAAGCACUCACUGAGGAUAAAGAUCUGAGGUAGAGAGAAGUCUAAUCCAGUGGUCUUGUUAUUACUGCUACCAAUGGAACACUAUGAAUGCCUAUGGCACAUCAUGAAAGAAAGAAUAGCUUGAGUACAGGGAUGCAAUAGCAGAGCUGAUGUGGCUGAAACAGAGAGAGGAAAGGAUGCAAGUUGAACACAGAGCUUUUGGCUCUCAGGCUGAAGAGCCUGCCGACCACAUCACUGGCUGAUGAAAGGAGAAGGACAGAACAAAGAGAACUUUCAGUCUUCCUCAGCCCACUGACGAGCUGCGCAGGAAGGACUACAUUUUAAUGUCUCACUAGAAAUCUACCACCUCUGCAAAUGCAGCAAAGCUUCCCACGUACACCAUGAGCUGAAUUAUCACCUCAGAGCUAGGAACAUAACUCCCCAGUGGAUAUUUAUAACCAAGAACUUUGGUGUGGAAAUCAAAGUGAUAUCGAUUAAAUUAUCCUGAUAUUUAAUAUUAAUAUUUUAAUCAACUAAUUUCUUUUUUUUUCCCCAGCCUGCCUCUUAGAUGGAAAAAAUAUAAAACAACCACAUGUAUAAUUAAUGCUUUAUUUCUUA